UAGGGAAUAUUGGGCAAUGGAGGCAACUCUGACCCAGCCAUGCCGCGUGCAGGAAGAAGGCGCUCAGCGUUGUAAACUGCUUUUAUCGGGGAAGAAACGACCCUUGCGAGGGGCAUUGACGGUACCCGAUGAAUAAGCACCGGCUAACUCCGUGCCAGCAGCCGCGGUAAUACGGAGGGGGCAAGCGUUGUCCGGAUUUAUUGGGUUUAAAGGGUGCGCAGGCGGGAAGGUUAGUUCGUGGUGAAAGACGAUCGCUCAACGAUUGCAGUGCCAUGAAUACUGCCUUUCUUGAAUCUGGUUGAGGCCGGUGGAAUUGACCGUGUAGCGGUGAAAUGCAUAGAUAUGGUCAAGAACUCCAAUUGCGAAGGCAGCCGGCUGGGCCAGUAUUGACGCUCAGGCACGAGAGUGCGGGGAUCAAACA
RNAcentral lists this ribosomal RNA (421 nucleotides) under uncultured bacterium. Its description in RNAcentral is "partial 16S ribosomal RNA". It matches the Rfam family "Bacterial small subunit ribosomal RNA", at positions 355 to 774 of the family's 1533-position model. The record is from RNAcentral.